This is a long non-coding RNA of Perca flavescens (yellow perch), 320 nucleotides long. RefSeq lists it as uncharacterized. The record is from RefSeq and is a predicted model, not a curated record. Lineage: Eukaryota; Metazoa; Chordata; Actinopteri; Perciformes; Percidae. The transcript has 2 exons.
UCUGAAAACAACUUCGUCAAAUUCAUAUCACGUAAGCUGCAAAUAUUCACAGCACAAGUAAAUAGGGAAACGAACUGCAAGCUGCAAAGACGACAACGGAAAUGUUUCCAGGGGGGCCAUAAUCAGUGACGGACCCGCAUCCAUCCGGGGUGCAAAAUUACGAAUCCAACUAUGGCCACGGCGAAAUAAUAAUUUAAAUGGACAAACGGAGGUGGUCGCUGAUGAUGGGAAAGCAAAAGACAAGCAGGGAGACAGAGGCCAAAGAGAGAUGUCGAAUAGCUAGAUUAUUUGCCAUUCUGAAAAUAAAUGCAUUAACUUAA